Molecule: unclassified non-coding RNA, 334 nt
Filed under: soil metagenome
Description: partial contains 5.8S ribosomal RNA, internal transcribed spacer 2, and large subunit ribosomal RNA
Rfam family: 5.8S ribosomal RNA (bases 1-120)
Source: RNAcentral
GAUGAAGAACGUAGCGAAAGGCGAUAAGUAAUGUGAAUUGCAGAAUUCAGUGAAUCAUCGAAUCUUUGAACGCACAUUGCGCCCCCCAGUAUUCUGGCGGGCAUGCCUGUUCGAGCGUCAUUUCAACCAUCAAGCCCUGCUUGUGUUGGGGUCCUGCGGCUGCCCGCAGGCCCUGAAAACCAGUGGCGGGCUCGCUAGUCACACCGAGCGCAGUAGCACAUCUCGCUCAGGGCGUGCGGCGGGCUCCAGCCGUUAAAGCACCCACCUUUCGCAAGGUUGACCUCGGAUCAGGUAGGAAUACCCGCUGAACUUAAGCAUAUCAAUAAGCGGAGGA